UACAGGGGGGGCAAGCGUUGUUCGGAAUUACUGGGCGUAAAGGGCUCGUAGGUGGCCAACUAAGUCAGACGUGAAAUCCCUCAGCUUAACUGGGGAACUGCGUCUGAUACUGGAUGGCUUGAGAUUGGGAGAGGGAUGCGGAAUUCCUGGUGUAGCGGUGAAAUGCGCAGAUAUCAGGAGGAACACCGGUGGCGAAGGCGGGUCUCUGGGCCGAUACUGACGCUGAGGAGCGAAAGCGUGGGGAGCGAACAGG
RNAcentral lists this ribosomal RNA (253 nucleotides) under uncultured bacterium. Its description in RNAcentral is "partial 16S ribosomal RNA". It matches the Rfam family "Bacterial small subunit ribosomal RNA", at positions 524 to 776 of the family's 1533-position model. The record is from RNAcentral.